Molecule: non-coding RNA, 75 nt
Organism: Podarcis lilfordi (Lilford's wall lizard)
Lineage: Eukaryota; Metazoa; Chordata; Lepidosauria; Squamata; Lacertidae
Source: the annotation of a GenBank genome assembly
GGAGGCUAGGUGGCUCAGCAGUUGAGCAUCUGCUUUGGAUCGAGAAGGCCACAGGUUCAAUCCCUGUUAUCUCCA